This 510-nucleotide ribosomal RNA is filed under the name uncultured diatom. RNAcentral's name for it is "partial 18S rRNA". It matches the Rfam family "Eukaryotic small subunit ribosomal RNA", at positions 489 to 1000 of the family's 1831-position model. The record is from RNAcentral. Lineage: Eukaryota; Bacillariophyta.
GGCCUUCUUAGGUCUGGCAAUUGGAAUNAGAACAAUUUAAACCCCUUAUCGAGUAUCAAUUGGAGGGCAAGUCUGGUGCCAGCAGCCGCGGUAAUUCCAGCUCCAAUAGCGUAUAUUAAAGUUGUUGCAGUUAAAAAGCUCGUAGUUGGAUUUCUGGCNGGANCGACCGGCCNCGCACCCUGNGCGNGAACUNGCGUUNUCUCNGGCCAUCCUCGGGGAGAUCCUGUNUGGCAUUAAGUUGUCGGGCAGGGGAUACCCAUCGUUUACUGUGAAAAAAUUAGAGUGUUUAAAGCAGGCUUAUGCCGUUGAAUAUAUUAGCAUGGAAUAAUAAGAUAGGACUUCGANNCUAUUUUGUUGGUUUGCGAGNCAAAGUAAUGAUUAAUAGGGACAGUUGGGGGUAUUCGUAUUUCAUUGUCAGAGGUGAAAUUCUUGGAUUUCNGAAAGACGAACUACUGCGAAAGCAUUUACCAAGGAUGUUUUCAUUAAUCAAGAACGAAAGUUAGGGGAUCG